Non-coding RNA from Schizosaccharomyces pombe (fission yeast), 220 nucleotides. Lineage: Eukaryota; Fungi; Ascomycota; Schizosaccharomycetes; Schizosaccharomycetales; Schizosaccharomycetaceae. The record is from the annotation of a GenBank genome assembly.
UCGACAGUAGGCGCAAAUGUUUGAUUACACCAUGUAAAUAGAGAAGAUAAAGUAGAUAUUAAACAUCUAUAAGACUUCAACCGAAUUUGAUAAUCAAAGUAAGGUGGAUUGUGCGAAUGAACAUAGCUUCCAAUUGUUGACGAAUUAAGCUGAGGAAUAUCAUUCAAUGUAUGAUAUACAAACCCCGGUUUAUCAAUUACUAGCUGGUCAUCACGGAAAA